AUCAUUACAAGAAUACAAGAACCUAACGGUUAUAUUUAUGGCACAAUGAGUUUACAUUUUAAUACAUUUUCUACACAUACUGUAGCCUUUACAUGAAACCAACAGGUGGAUUCUCAAAUGGAGGAAAAGGUUUUGAAUCAAAAUCAGGCAAAUCUGUCGUUUGAGAUCCUGGUUCUGCGUAAUCACUGACCCAGCCAGUAAUAUCUGACUCAAUUUGUUGAGUAUGUAUCACACAUUAGAAUUGCUGGAUACAAGAAUGACACACAUUUAAAAAUUACAAGGUUGCCCACAAAUUUCACUAUUUCCAUGGGUGAGAAAGCUAAUUUAGUGAAGUAGGCAGUUGCGAAGUUUAACAUGGAGAGAAUGUUAUGGAAAGAAAAUAAGUGGACAUGAUCCCUUCUGUAAGAAACACUUAUUAAUUACUUGCUUUCUCAUCCCUAAAAAGAGGAUAAAGAAUCUUCAGAAGAUCUACAGGGUCCACUAUAUCUAAAGAGAUCAACACUUGAGCUAGAAGCAUGCUCAUCCCAGAAAAUGGCAGUGCUGUAAGGAACAACAUGUGCUACAAUUAAGAGGAAUGUACGAACCACUCAUUGGAUCCUGCAGCACAAUAAAAAAAAUCCUUCAUUCAUUCACUCAGGAGGAAAGAGAAUACAAUAACAUUUAGUAUAUUACACAAGUGAGCAGUUAUGAUAAUAAAAGAACUA
Callorhinchus milii (elephant shark) is the source of this 704-nucleotide long non-coding RNA. RefSeq lists it as uncharacterized. The record is from RefSeq and is a predicted model, not a curated record. The transcript has 3 exons. Lineage: Eukaryota; Metazoa; Chordata; Chondrichthyes; Chimaeriformes; Callorhinchidae.